UUUUCCUGGAUUUACAAGACAUUUGAAAUUGACCUGGCAAGCCUGUCUCUGUCUGAGCAUGAUCACAACAAAAGUAGCUGUGCAGCACGUUUUUUAAUGAAGAGGAGGAUGGUUGUAGACGUUCACAUUCCUGCAAGAAGGCACUGCAGAGGCUCAGAAGACACAUGGAAACUCUAAAACAAACAUAAUUCAACUUGUAGGCCAGAUUUGAAAAGGAAAUAAUAAAUCCCGAAGCUCAGAUGUCAGACACCGAGGCUGACAGUACCUCUGGGUCGAUAGUCCAUGUGUUGGAUGAUGCACCGCCGUUGAUCAGAACAG
Non-coding RNA from Salmo salar (Atlantic salmon), 318 nucleotides. The record is from RefSeq and is a predicted model, not a curated record. Lineage: Eukaryota; Metazoa; Chordata; Actinopteri; Salmoniformes; Salmonidae.